Molecule: ribosomal RNA, 465 nt
Filed under: uncultured bacterium
Lineage: Bacteria
Description: partial 16S ribosomal RNA
Rfam family: Bacterial small subunit ribosomal RNA
Source: RNAcentral
GACGAACGCUGGCGGCGUGCUUAACACAUGCAAGUCGAACGGAAAGGCCCCUUUGGGGGUACUCGAGUGGCGAACGGGUGCGUAACACGUGAGUAACCUGCCCUUGACUUCCGGUUGACUUCAUGAAACUGGGUCUAAUACAUGACAGGAAUCCUUGCUGCAUGGAGGGGGGUGGAAAGAUUGUGCGGUUUGGGGGUGACUCGCUGCUUGUCCGCCUGUUUGUUGGGUAGGGGCUUACCCAGGCUUUGACUGGUAGCCGGCCUGAGAGGGCGACCGGCCACCUUUGGGCUGGGAUACGGCCCAGACUCCUACCGGAGGCAGCAGUGGGGAAUAUUUGCCCAUGGGCGGGAGCCUGAUGGAGCCAAGCCGCGUGCGGGAUGACGGCCUUCGGGUUGGAAACCGCUUUCAGCAGGGGAGAAGCUUGUGGUGACGGUACCUGCAGAAGAAGCACCGGCUAACUACGUG